Molecule: ribosomal RNA, 443 nt
Filed under: uncultured bacterium
Lineage: Bacteria
Description: partial 16S ribosomal RNA
Rfam family: Bacterial small subunit ribosomal RNA
Source: RNAcentral
CCUACGGGAGGCAGCAGUGGGGAAUAUUGGGCAAUGGGCGCAAGCCUGACCCAGCAACGCCGCGUGAAGGAAGAAGGCUCUCGGGUUGUAAACUUCUUUUAUCAGGGACGAAGCAAGUGACGGUACCUGAUGAAUAAGCCACGGCUAACUACGGGCCAGCAGCCGCGGUAAUACGUAGGUGGCAAGCGUUAUCCGGAUUUACUGGGGGUAAAGGGCGUGUAGGCGGGAAAGCAAGUCAGAUGUGAAAACCAUGGGCUCAACCUGUGGCCUGCAUUUGAAACUGGUUUUCUUGAGUACUGGAGAGGCAGGCGGAAUUCCUAGUGUAGCGGUGAAAUGCGUAGAUAUUAGGAGGAACACCAGUGGCGAAGGCGGUCUGCUGGACAGCAACUGACGCUGAGGCGCGAAAGCGUGGGGAGCAAACAGGAUUAGAUACCCCAGUAGUC